RNAcentral lists this unclassified non-coding RNA (348 nucleotides) under soil metagenome. RNAcentral's name for it is "partial contains 5.8S ribosomal RNA, internal transcribed spacer 2, and large subunit ribosomal RNA". The stretch from base 1 to 120 matches the Rfam family "5.8S ribosomal RNA", at positions 35 to 154 of the family's 154-position model. The record is from RNAcentral.
GAUGAAGAACGUAGCGAAAUGCGAUAAGUAAUGUGAAUUGCAGAAUUCAGUGAAUCAUCGAGUCUUUGAACGCACAUUGCGCCCCCUGGUAUUCCGGGGGGCAUGCCUGUCCGAGCGCCAUUGCCGCCCUCAAGCACGGCUUGUGUGUUGGGCCCCCGCCCCCCGGCUUCGGGGGGCGGGCCCGAAAGGCAGCGGCGGCACCGCGUCCGGUCCUCGAGCGUAUGGGGCUUCGUCACCCGCUCUGUAGGCCCGGCCGGCGCCCGCCGGCGACCCCAAUCAAUCUUUCCAGGUUGACCUCGGAUCAGGUAGGGAUACCCGCUGAACUUAAGCAUAUCAAUAAGCGGAGGA